GUUGCGUGGAGGGACCGACAUCGGCGCGGCUCCUCCGUUUGCGUGCGGAGCGGCGGGACGCGUUUGGGGCGCACGGUGUGCGGCUCGCGGCUGCACGUUGUUCCGCGCUGACAGCCGAUCUCCGCCUUGGUAACUUUUGAAACGGGACAAUUGGGGUUUUUGACAUGGCUGGGUUUGGAAGAGUUGCUUCUGUGGCAAGAAUAUACUUGGCCUCAGUGACCUACUGCCACGUAUCUGCUCUCUGGUGGAAAGCAUGAAAAUAUUGAUGUUUCCAAGCGGGUAGAAAAAAAGCGCUUUUUAACUGUUCUUGGAAAUGACUGAGCCAUUUCUGCUGGCUGUGGAUGUCCUACAGAAAGGAAUAAAUCCAGGAUAAGCGCUUCCAGAUUCCCAGUUCAGCCUUCAUUUAUUGGAGGACAAGCAACAUUACUGUGGUGUCACAAGUCAACCUUUCAGACUACUUUGUAAGAAGAUGAGGAACAAAAAGCAGUGCAUUCAAGAUACAGAAGGUCAAAAGCACGAAGGCAUGGAAGGUGAAGAAAUGGAAGAAAGCUGUUCCUGUUCUACUUUAUUACAUGACGGUGACACAUGCCCCAUCUGUCUGAACUGCCUUCUGGAACAGGAGAUUGGUUUUCCUGAGAACUGUAGUCAUGCUUUCUGCAUGACUUGUAUUCUUAAAUGGGCUGAGGUAAGACUGAGAAGCAAAGUGUGUGUUGUGUGUGU
Molecule: non-coding RNA, 720 nt
Organism: Meleagris gallopavo (turkey)
Lineage: Eukaryota; Metazoa; Chordata; Aves; Galliformes; Phasianidae
Source: RefSeq, a predicted model, not a curated record